RNAcentral lists this long non-coding RNA (2681 nucleotides) under Homo sapiens (human). Its description in RNAcentral is "PREDICTED lncRNA (TCONS_00088406)". Lineage: Eukaryota; Metazoa; Chordata; Mammalia; Primates; Hominidae. The record is from RNAcentral.
GAGUGCUGGGUCGGGCUUCCAGCUCCCUACAACGCAGACCAGUACUGGAGUUCGUGGUGCUGGAAGACCGCCGCCCGACUCUGGGCCCCGGGUAGGAAACAACAAUUUCGGACCUCCUGGGGUCUAUGCUAGGUAUGAGGUGUAUCUUUGCCCUCCAUCAAGUAGCAAAGAUGGACAUGUAAACAAAUUUCGACACUGUGAUGACUGCCACAAAAAGCAGCAUUAUGAGGUUGAAUGUAAAAGGAUAACCUUAGCGGCGGCGGGGGCCGGAGGAUGAAGGAAGGCUUCCUGAGGUAGGCGCUGGUUGAAACUGAAGUUGGAGAGAGCAAGUGGCAUUUGCUGAAGUGCAUUUCCGGUAGAAAACUCCAGUGGUCCCUCACCUGACUGAGUGGCGCAGUCAGAGAUAAAUGGAACAGGUACACUGACCAGAAAGGGCAAGAUGGGCUAAACUUCGCCGUUGGGCCACUGGGCUCCCCCGCAGGAUUUUAAAGAGCUAGCCAGUAGAUGGAUUUUGUUUUUGUUAUUUUCGCAAUUUAUUUUCAAAUAUGUAAUACGCGAACUUGGUACAACAUUCAUGUGAUAAAAAGGUAGAUACGUGGGCAGGACGCGGUGGCUCACGCCUGUAAUCCCAGCAUUUUGGGAGGCCGAGAUGGGCGGAUCAUUUGCUGUCAGGAGUUCGAGACCAGCCUGGCCAACAUGAGUCUACAAAUAAACAUUUUAUAAAGAUGAUCCUUCAAUACAUAUUCUACAGCCCAGUUAAAAUGUGAGAGGCCAUGAUCUACAGACAGCCAUUUAUAAAGGUGGAUCAGGGCCGGACACGGUGGCUCAACGUCUGUAAUCCCGGCACUGUGGGAGGCCAAAGCGGGAGGAUCGCUUGAGCCCAGGAGUUCGAGACCAACCUGGCCAACAUGGUGAGACCCCAUCUUUACAAAAAAAUAUAUAUAUCCAGGCAUAGUGGUGUGCACCUGUGGUCCUGUGGUCCCAGCUACUCAGGAAGCUGAGGCAGUUGAGGCUGCAGUGAGCCACGUUCUGGCCACUACACUCCAGCCUGGGCAUCAAAGUGACAAGACCAAAAAAAAAAAAAAAUGUGGAUUGGAAGGAGGCAAGAAAGAAGUCAGGAAAAGGGUGGAAUGUAAGUCCCUAAGGACACAAUCUUACUCACAAUUGUAUCUCCAACAUUUGGCAUAAUGCCUAAUACGUAAGUAUUUUAUGAAUUAAUUAAACGAGAACACAAGCCUAAAUUAAGGCAAUGGCAAUGGAGAAGAAGAAACCAACUUGAGAAAUAUUUAAAGGUCAUUGUCAAUGGAACUUAGUGACUUUAAUGGUUAAUUUUAUCUAUCAACUUGGCUAGGCGAUGCUACCCAUGUUACUCAGUUUUUGGUCAAACACUAGUCUAGUUGUUGCUAUGAAUUGUAUUUGUUAGAUGUGAUUAACAUUUAAAUCAGCAGACUUUGAUUAAAGUACAUUACCCUCUAUAAUGAGGGUGGGCCGCAUCCGGUCAGUUCAAAUUAAAACGAGACCCUUAAGAAGAAGCAAUUCAGCCUCCAGACUGCAGCGUCAAAUCUCCCUGGGUCUCCAGGCUGUUUGUCUGCCCUGCAGAUUUCAGACUUGCCAGCUCCCAGAAUAAUGUGAGCCAAUUCCUUAAAAUAAAUCUCUUUCUGCAUAUACACAUCCUAUUGAUUCUGUUUCUCUGGAGAACCCGUACUAAUAUAGUGUCUGACUAGAUAUGAAGGAGGAGGGGAAGGGAGAAAUAGAUAGACGAUGCCUUUGGAUAUUGAGUGACACUUAUCUAGUUGCUUAAGUCAAAAACCUGAAAACUGGUUAGGCACGCCUAUUACGGGCUCACGCCUGUAAUCCCAGCACUUAGGGAGGCUGAGGCAGGCAGAUCAUUUGAAGUAAUUCAAGACCAGCCUGGCCAACAUGAUGAAACCCCAAGACCACUAAAAAUACAAAAAUUAGCCGGGCGUGGUGGCACAUGCCUGUAACCCCAGCUCCUCAGGAGGCUAAAGCAGGAAAAUUGCUUGAACCCAGGAAACAGAGGUUGCAGUGAGCCGAGAUUGUGCUACUCCACUCCAGCCUGGGAGAGACUCCAUCUGAAAACAAACAACAAAAAAAAAUGCUGGGCACAGUGGCUCACGCCUGUAAUCCCAGCACUUUAGGAGGCUGAGGCGGGCGGAUCACCUGAGGUCAGGAGUUCAAGACCAGCCUGGCCAAUGUGGCAAACCCCAUCUCUACUAAAAAUAAAAAAAAAAUUAGCUGGGCAUGUUGGCGGGCACCGUAAUACCAGCUACUCGGGAAGAUGAGGCAGGAGAAUCACUUGAACCGGGAGGCAGAAGUUGCAGUGAGCUAAGAUCGCGCCAUUGCACUUUAGCCUGGGCGACGAGCGAAACUCCCUCUCAAAAAAAAAGAAGAAGGCUGGGCGCGGUGGCUCAUGCCUGUAAUCCCAGCACUUUGGGAGGCCGAGGUGGGUGGAUCACUUGAGGUCAGUAGUUCGAGACUAGCCUGGACAUGGUGAAACCUGUCUCUACUAAAAAUACAAAAAUUAGCCAGGUAUAGUGGCUCAUGCCUAUAAUUCCAGCUACUUGGGAGGUUGAGGCAGGACAAUGGUUUGAACCCAGGAGGCAGAGGUUGUAGUGAGCUGAGAUUGUGCCACUGCACUCCAGCCUGGAUGACACUCUAUC